GGGGAAUAUUGCGCAAUGGGGGCAACCCUGACGCAGCCAUGCCGCGUGAAUGAAGAAGGCCUUCGGGUUGUAAAGUUCUUUCGGUAGCGAGGAAGGCAUUUAGUUUAAUAGACUAGGUGAUUGACGUUAACUACAGAAGAAGCACCGGCUAACUCCGUGCCAGCAGCCGCGGUAAUACGGAGGGUGCGAGCGUUAAUCGGAAUAACUGGGCGUAAAGGGCACGCAGGCGGUGACUUAAGUGAGGUGUGAAAGCCCCGGGCUUAACCUGGGAAUUGCAUUUCAUACUGGGUCGCUAGAGUACUUUAGGGAGGGGUAGAAUUCCACGUGUAGCGGUGAAAUGCGUAGAGAUGUGGAGGAAUACCGAAGGCGAAGGCAGCCCCUUGGGAAUGUACUGACGCUCAUGUGCGAAAGCGUGGGGAGCAAACAGGAUUAGAUACCCUGGUAGUCCACGCUGUAAACGAUGUCGAUUUGGGGGUUGAACUUUAGGUUUGGCGCCCGUAGCUAACGUGAUAAAUCGACCGCCUGGGGAGUACGGCCGCAAGGUUA
Molecule: ribosomal RNA, 546 nt
Filed under: uncultured bacterium
Lineage: Bacteria
Description: bacterial SSU rRNA
Rfam family: Bacterial small subunit ribosomal RNA
Source: RNAcentral